Molecule: RNA transcript, 1774 nt
Organism: Magnolia sinica
Lineage: Eukaryota; Viridiplantae; Streptophyta; Magnoliopsida; Magnoliales; Magnoliaceae
Gene name: transcription initiation factor IIA large subunit-like
Exons: 12
Source: RefSeq, a predicted model, not a curated record
CCUAUUUAUUCAACUCCUCCACUUUUCUCUCUUCUUCCCCAAAUCUCUCUCUUUCUGCCUCUCUCUCUCUCUCUCUCUGAAACUCUAGAAACCCUAAUUCCAAUUGAGAUUUCCAUUGAAUCGCUGAAAAACGCUUUGUUUGUGAGCUUCUCUGAUUGAUCUCGGCCAUCAGAAGCCCCGGAUUGAAGAAACGGGGCCCUGACCCGGUCUGAAGAUGUCGACCUCGAGCGUGUCUUCAGUCUAUCUACACGUUGUUGAUUCCGUCGUCAGCAAGCUGCGGGAAGAGUUCCUCAAUGAGGGUGUCGAUGAUUCCGUUCUCAACGAGCUUCAAGGGCUGUGGGAGCUAAAAAUGUUGCAAUGUGGAGCAGUACAAGGCCCUAUUGAAAGAAGCUCUGUUCCUAGAGCAACGAUUCCUGCCCCCGUCCAUGAUCUGAAUGUGCCAUAUGAAGGGCCAGAAGAAUAUGAAACUCCAACAGCAGAGAUGCUCUUUCCGCCGACACCUUUACAAACGCCCAUACAGACACCAUUGCCUGUAGAACCUGGAGGAUAUCAAUACUACCCUGCAGGUCCCAGUCCUGCAGGUCCCAGUGAAUUUGGCACUAUACCUGAUACAGGGGCUGCUGCCGAGCUAAAAACUGCAAGACCUGCUCCAUACAUGCAACAACCAUCUCCAUGGAUGACCCAGAGACCGCUUGGGGUUGAUGUCAAUGUUGCUUAUGAGGAAGCAAGGGAGGAGGAAGAAGGGGGAGGAAUAUCUCAGCCACCCAUGAAGGAUUUUUUCAUGCUAACUGCUGGUAAACGGAAACGAGAGGACUACCCUCCGCAUUUGCUUCCAGGUGGUUAUAUUCCUCAGCAAGAUGGAUCAGGAGACAUUUCCCCAAAUCAUUCUCUUCAAGAAAAGGUCCUUCUAGGAGAGAACCCAUCAAAUAAAGAACAUUCUCUGGCCUUUAAUGACAGAUUAAAUCUUCAAGCUAGGAAGAAAGCUGAUGCUACAAUUGCUUCAAUGAUUAAAAUGAAGCAGUACCCUCUGUUGAUUCCACAACAAGAUGGUUUCAAUGAUGUUUAUGAUGAUGGUGGUGGCAAUGAAGAUUAUAAUACACCAUCGUACUAUGAUCCACUUACCCCCCAUAAUGUGGGAACCCCAAAACCAACAAAAAACGAAGCACUAGAAGAUGAUGAGCCACCUCUAAAUGAAGAUGACGACGAUGAUGAUUUGGAUGACCUUGAGCAGGGAGAUGAAGAACCCAGUACCAAUCAUUUGGUAUUGGCUCAGUUUGAAAAGAUUUUCAAAAACAUGAUAUACAAGCAUCCUAGAGUUCUAAUGCAAGGAGCCUUGGUGUGGGAGGUUCUAAUGCAUCUGCAGUUAUUCAGGUAAAUAGAACCAAGAGCAAAUGGAAAUGUAUUCUCAAGGAUGGAAUAAUGCACUUGAACAAUAAGGACAUUCUGUUCACAAAGGCGAACGGGGAGUUUGAUUUUUGAGGCUAAGGUUGAGCCUGAUGCACUAAUCCCACAUGGCCCCUCGAGUUUUUAUUAUAUUGUCUUAAUUCUUUUUUCCUGUUGUAUUUGUUUGAUCAGUUGAUUUUCCUGUUCACAUUUGUAGGAGUGAGAAGAAAAAAAAAAAAAAGAAAAGAAAAGAAAGAAAAGAAUAGAAACCCUGAAUUUUGUAAGAACCCCGUCUAGAUAUAUUCUUAAUUUUAUAUGAACAUUGAGUGUUAAUUAAAUUGACCAUCUUAUUUGGCUCAUUUCUGAUAAAUGUGAAAUUGAAUAUUCAGAA